This 800-nucleotide ribosomal RNA is filed under the name uncultured bacterium. RNAcentral's name for it is "bacterial SSU rRNA". It matches the Rfam family "Bacterial small subunit ribosomal RNA", at positions 8 to 801 of the family's 1533-position model. The record is from RNAcentral.
AGAGUUUGAUCCUGGCUCAGGAUGAACGCUAGCGGCAGGCUUAAUACAUGCAAGUCGAGGGGCAGCGCAGUGUAGCAAUACAUGGGCGGCGACCGGCAAACGGGUGCGGAACACGUACAGAACCUUCCUUCGAGCGGGGAAUAGCCCAGAGAAAUUUGGAUUAAUACCCCAUAGUAUAUCGGAGUGGCAUCACUUUGAUAUUAAAGAUUUAUCACUUGAAGAUGGCUGUGCGGCUGAUUAGGUAGUUGGCGGGGUAACGGCCCACCAAGCCUGCGAUCAGUAACUGGUGUGAGAGCACGACCAGUCACACGGGCACUGAGACACGGGCCCGACUCCUACGGGAGGCAGCAGUAAGGAAUAUUGGUCAAUGGACGCAAGUCUGAACCAGCCAUGCCGCGUGGAGGAUGAAGGUCCUCUGGAUUGUAAACUUCUUUUAUCUGGGACGAAAAAGGGUCUUUCUAGAUCAACUGACGGUACCAGAUGAAUAAGCACCGGCUAACUCCGUGCCAGCAGCCGCGGUAAUACGGAGGGUGCAAGCGUUAUCCGGAUUCACUGGGUUUAAAGGGUGCGUAGGUGGGUUGGUAAGUCAGUGGUGAAAUCCCCGAGCUUAACUUGGGAACUGCCAUUGAUACUAUCAGUCUUGAAUAUUGUGGAGGUUAGCGGAAUAUGUCAUGUAGCGGUGAAAUGCUUAGAUAUGACAUAGAACACCAAUUGCGAAGGCAGCUGGCUACGCAUAUAUUGACACUGAGGCACGAAAGCGUGGGGAUCAAACAGGAUUAGAUACCCUGGUAGUCCACGCC